UACGUAGGGUGCGAGCGUUAAUCGGAAUUACUGGGCGUAAAGCGUGCGCAGGCGGUUUUGUAAGCCAGAUGUGAAAUCCCCGGGCUUAACCUGGGAAUGGCAUUUGGGACUGGCAAGGCUUGAGUGCGGCAGAGGAGACUGGAAUUCCUGGUGUAGCAGUGAAAUGCGUAGAUAUCAGGAGGAACACCGAUGGCGAAGGCAGGUCUCUGGGCUGACACUGACGCUCAUGCACGAAAGCGUGGGAGCGA
RNAcentral lists this ribosomal RNA (248 nucleotides) under uncultured bacterium. RNAcentral describes it as "partial 16S ribosomal RNA". It matches the Rfam family "Bacterial small subunit ribosomal RNA", at positions 524 to 771 of the family's 1533-position model. The record is from RNAcentral.